This 497-nucleotide ribosomal RNA is filed under the name uncultured bacterium. RNAcentral's name for it is "partial 16S ribosomal RNA". It matches the Rfam family "Bacterial small subunit ribosomal RNA", at positions 28 to 507 of the family's 1533-position model. The record is from RNAcentral.
GAUGAACGCUGGCGGCGUGCCUAAUACAUGCAAGUCGAGCGAACAGAUGAGGAGCUUGCUCCUCUGACGUUAGCGGCGGACGGGUGAGUAACACGUGGAUAACCUACCUAUAAGACUGGGAUAACUUCGGGAAACCGGAGCUAAUACCGGAUAAUAUAUUGAACCGCAUGGUUCAAUAGUGAAAGACGGUUUUGCUGUCACUUAUAGAUGGAUCCGCGCCGCAUUAGCUAGUUGGUAAGGUAACGGCUUACCAAGGCAACGAUGCGUAGCCGACCUGAGAGGGUGAUCGGCCACACUGGAACUGAGACACGGUCCAGACUCCUACGGGAGGCAGCAGUAGGGAAUCUUGCGCAAUGGGCGAAAGCCUGACGGAGCAACGCCGCGUGAGUGAUGAAGGUCUUCGGAUCGUAAAACUCUGUUAUGAGGGAAGAACAAAUGUGUAAGUAACUAUGCACGUCUUGACGGUACCUAAUCAGAAAGCCACGGCUAACUACGUG